This 148-nucleotide non-coding RNA is filed under the name Homo sapiens (human). The record is from Rfam by way of RNAcentral. Lineage: Eukaryota; Metazoa; Chordata; Mammalia; Primates; Hominidae.
GCUGGGCAUGGUGGUGCAUGCCUGCAGUCCCAGCUACUUGGGAGGCUGAGGCAGAAGAAUCGCUUGAACCUGGGAGGUGUAGGUUGCAGUGAGCUGAGAUUGCGCCACUGCACUCCAGCCUGGGUGACAGAGUGAGACUCAGUCUCAA